GCCAACCCCUGGCUAUUCUGUUUUUCAGCCUGUUGUGUUACCUGAUGGUUUUCUUUCGAAAGUCGAUGGAAGGGGGAAAAUAGUGAAAUGGUGUCCACAAGAACAAGUCUUGUCUCACCCUUCUACCGCCUUUUUUCUGACACAUUGUGGAUGGAAUUCAUCGAUGGAGGCAAUUUCAAGUGGCGUCCCCAUCAUUGCUUACCCUCAAUGGGGUGAUCAAGCCACGAACGCAAAGUAUUUGGUUGAUGUAUUCAAAAUGGGGAUAAGAUUAAGCAAAGAUGAGAACGGGAGCAAGAUAAUUCGGAGGGAAGAGAUUGAGAAAUGCUUGCGUGAAGCCACUAGUGAUGAUUCGAAGGUAGCAGAGAUGAUAGAAAAUGCGCGUAAGUGGAAGAAACAAGCAGAGGAAGCAGUGGCAGAGCGCGGUUCCUCUGCUAUCAAUAUCCAAGCAUUUGUCGAUGAGUUGAAAAAUAUCCAUGCCAAGAAACAACAAGAAAACGCCUAGUGAUCGACAUUCUUAAUUGAGAAUGUG
This 529-nucleotide unclassified non-coding RNA is filed under the name Hevea brasiliensis (rubber tree). The record is from RNAcentral. Lineage: Eukaryota; Viridiplantae; Streptophyta; Magnoliopsida; Malpighiales; Euphorbiaceae.